GUGUAGCUCAGUGGCAGAGCACUUGCCUAGCCUGCAGGAGGCCCUGGAUUUGAUUCCUAGCAC
This is a non-coding RNA of Heterocephalus glaber (naked mole-rat), 63 nucleotides long. The record is from Rfam. NCBI's taxonomy places the organism in Eukaryota, Metazoa, Chordata, Mammalia, Rodentia, Bathyergidae.